This 75-nucleotide transfer RNA is filed under the name Candidatus Brocadiales bacterium. Its description in RNAcentral is "tRNA-Glu". It matches the Rfam family "tRNA". Rfam says of the family: Transfer RNA (tRNA) molecules are approximately 80 nucleotides in length. Their secondary structure includes four short double-helical elements and three loops (D, anti-codon, and T loops). Further hydrogen bonds mediate the characteristic L-shaped molecular structure. tRNAs have two regions of fundamental functional importance: the anti-codon, which is responsible for specific mRNA codon recognition, and the 3' end, to which the tRNAs corresponding amino acid is attached (by aminoacyl-tRNA synthetases). tRNAs cope with the degeneracy of the genetic code in two manners: having more than one tRNA (with a specific anti-codon) for a particular amino acid; and 'wobble' base-pairing, i.e. permitting non-standard base-pairing at the 3rd anti-codon position. The record is from RNAcentral. Lineage: Bacteria; Pseudomonadati; Planctomycetota; Candidatus Brocadiia; Candidatus Brocadiales.
GUCUGGUUCGACUAUCGGUUAGGUCUUCAGGUUUUCAUCCUGACAAGAGGGGUUCGAUUCCCCUACCAGAUGCCA